GUAGUCUCGCACAGAUGCAUAUCAAUAAGCGGAGGAAAAGAAACUAACAAGGAUUCCCUUAGUAACGGUGAGUGAAGCGGGAAGAGCUCAAAUUUGAAAUCUUCAAGGUUUUACCUUGACGAAUUGUAGUUUAAAGAAGUGUUUUCUGUUAAGAUUUGGUAAUAAAGUUCUUUGGAAUAGGACAUCAUAGAGGGUGAGAAUCCCGUAUUUGACCAUUAUUUUCAGCUGUGUGAUACACUUUCAAAGAGUCGGAUUGUUUGGGAAUGCAGUCCAAAAUGGGUGGUAAAUUUCAUCUAAAGCUAAAUAUUGGCGAGAGACCGAUAGCGAACAAGUACCGUGAGGGAAAGAUGAAAAGAACUUUGAAAAGAGAGUUAAACAGUACGUGAAAUUGUCAAAAGGGAAGCGUUUGACACCAGUGUUGUUUUCUCGAAAAUCAAUUAAAAAGAGUUAGAUUUUGUUGUGUAUUGACCUUAACAGCUUGCAUUUCAAUUUUCUUGCUUUUUUUAAUGCACUUUUCGUUUAACAAGUCAACAUCAGUUUCUUUUGUUGUAAAAAGGUCAUUGGAAGGUGGCUUUCUUUUCGGAGAAAGUGUUUAUAGCCUUUGACUCCUGCAAUCGGAGAGACUGAGGUCUGCAGCGUAGAUCCUUCGGGGUUAGAUACAUUUGUGCUAAGUUAUAGCUUUUUAUAGACAACUUGUUGACUAUGAUUAGUCUUGUAGCUUACUCGCUUAUGCUAUUUUACCUACGCUUAGGAUGUUGAAGAUGUAGCACAUCAU
Molecule: ribosomal RNA, 775 nt
Filed under: uncultured Neocallimastigales
Lineage: Eukaryota; Fungi; Neocallimastigomycota; Neocallimastigomycetes; Neocallimastigales
Description: partial large subunit ribosomal RNA
Rfam family: Eukaryotic large subunit ribosomal RNA
Source: RNAcentral